This 76-nucleotide transfer RNA is filed under the name Nitrospinae bacterium RIFCSPHIGHO2_02_39_11. Its description in RNAcentral is "tRNA-Lys". It matches the Rfam family "tRNA". From Rfam's summary of the family: Transfer RNA (tRNA) molecules are approximately 80 nucleotides in length. Their secondary structure includes four short double-helical elements and three loops (D, anti-codon, and T loops). The record is from RNAcentral. RNAcentral also lists the same sequence under 11 other names. Lineage: Bacteria; Pseudomonadati; Nitrospinota.
GGGCCGCUAGCUCAUUUGGUAGAGCACCGCCCUUUUAAGGCGGGUGUGCUGGGUUCGAAUCCCAGGCGGCUCACCA